ACUCAAAGGAAUUGACGGGGGCCCGCACAAGCAGCGGAGCGUGUGGUUUAAUUCGAUGCAACGCGAAAAACCUUACCUGGAUUUGACGUGUCCGUAGUAGUGAAGCGAAAGCGGAACGACCCUUCGGGGAGCGGAUGCAGGUGCUGCAUGGCUGUCGUCAGCUCGUGUCGUGAGAUGUUGGGUUAAGUCCCGCAACGAGCGCAACCCUCGUCGCUAGUUACACGUGUCUAGCGAGACUGUCGGUCUAAAACCGGAGGAAGGUGGGGAUGACGUCAAGUCAGCAUGGCCUUUAUGUCCAGGGCGACACACACGCUACAAUGGCCGGUACAAUGGGCAGCCAAAGGGUGACCUGGAGCGAAUCCCAUCAAAGCUGGUCGUAGUUCAGAUUGUAGGCUGCAACCCGCCUACAUGAAGCCGGAGUUGCUAGUAAACGCAGGUCAGCAUUACUGCGUUGAAUACGUUCCCGGGCCUUGUACACACCGCCCGU
Molecule: ribosomal RNA, 487 nt
Filed under: uncultured bacterium
Lineage: Bacteria
Description: partial 16S ribosomal RNA
Rfam family: Bacterial small subunit ribosomal RNA
Source: RNAcentral